Molecule: transfer RNA, 90 nt
Filed under: candidate division WS1 bacterium
Lineage: Bacteria; Bacillati
Description: tRNA-Ser
Rfam family: tRNA
About the family: Transfer RNA (tRNA) molecules are approximately 80 nucleotides in length. Their secondary structure includes four short double-helical elements and three loops (D, anti-codon, and T loops).
Source: RNAcentral
GGAGAGGUGACCGAGCGGAUCAAGGUGCGCGCCUGGAGAGCGCGUUGUCCCGUAUGGGGCACGUGGGUUCGAAUCCCACCCUCUCCGCCA